RNAcentral lists this non-coding RNA (29 nucleotides) under Bombyx mori (domestic silkworm). Lineage: Eukaryota; Metazoa; Arthropoda; Insecta; Lepidoptera; Bombycidae. The record is from RNAcentral.
UGCUUAACGACAAAGGCUAUACAUAUUGA